GACGAACGCUGGCGGCGUGCUUAACACAUGCAAGUCGAACGGAAAGGCCCUGCGUUUGUGGGGUUCUCGAUUGGCGAACGGGGGAGUAACACGUGUGUAACCUGCCCUUGUCUUUGGGAUAACUUCAGGAAACUGGGGCUAAUAUCGGAUAUGAUCUCCUGCUCCAUGUGGUUCGUUGGAGAGUUUCGGCGGUUGGGGAUGGACUCGCGGCUUAUCAGCUUGUUGGGGGGGUAGUGGCUUACGAAGGCUUUGACGGGUAGCCGGCCUGAGAGGGUGACCGGCCACAUUGGGACUGAGAUAGGGCGCAGACUCCUACGGGAGGCAGUAGUGGGGAAUAUUGCACAAUGGGCGGACGCCUGAUGCAGAAAUGCUGCGUGCGGGAUGACCGGCUUCGGGUUAUAAACCGCUUUCGAAUGUGACGAAGAGUGAGUGACGGUAAUGGAUAAAGAAGCACCGGCUAACUACGUG
This 468-nucleotide ribosomal RNA is filed under the name uncultured bacterium. Its description in RNAcentral is "partial 16S ribosomal RNA". It matches the Rfam family "Bacterial small subunit ribosomal RNA", at positions 28 to 507 of the family's 1533-position model. The record is from RNAcentral.